UAAGGGAUAUUGCGCAAUGGGCGAAAGCCUGACGCAGCAACGCCGCGUGGAGGAAGAAGGCCUUCGGGUCGUAAACUCCUUUUGGGUCUGACGAGGAAGGACGGUAGGACCUGAAUAAGUCACGGCUAACUACGUGCCAGCAGCCGCGGUAAAACGUAGGUGGCGAGCGUUAUCCGGAUUUACUGGGCGUAAAGCGUGUGCAGGCGGGGAACCAAGUGGUGUAUGAAAUUUCCCGGCUUAACCGGGAAGGGUUAUGCCAGACUGGUUUUCUGGAGUGCGAGAGAGGGGCGUGGAAUUCCGGGUGUAGUGGUGAAAUGCGUAGAGAUCCGGAGGAACCCCAGAGGCGAAGGCGGCGCCCUGGCUCGCAACUGACGCUCAGACACGACAGCAUGGGGAGCGAACGG
RNAcentral lists this ribosomal RNA (404 nucleotides) under uncultured bacterium. RNAcentral's name for it is "bacterial SSU rRNA". It matches the Rfam family "Bacterial small subunit ribosomal RNA", at positions 355 to 775 of the family's 1533-position model. The record is from RNAcentral.